Molecule: ribosomal RNA, 433 nt
Filed under: uncultured bacterium
Lineage: Bacteria
Description: partial 16S ribosomal RNA
Rfam family: Bacterial small subunit ribosomal RNA
Source: RNAcentral
AAUGAACGCUGGCGGCAUCCCUAACACACGCAAGUCGAACGAGCUCUCUGGGUCUCGUGGCGCUCCGAUGAGUAACCCCUGGGCACAUGACCUUAGGUUCGGAUCAACACCUCGAAUGGCGCUCCACUCACGGGCAUACUCAUUGGACCCAUGAGUCAUCCCCCUGGGAUGGCCUGGCGCUGGAUUACCUAGUUGGUAGUGUAAAAGCCUACCAAGGCGACGACCCUUAGCUGGUCUGAGAGGAUGAUCAGCCACACUGGUACUGAUACACGGCCCAGACUCCUACGGGAGGCAGCAAUGGGGAAUAUUGGACAAGGGACGACAGCCGGAUCCAGCAAUGCCGCGUAAGUGAUGAAGGCCUUAGGGUUGUAAGGCUCUUUUACCCGGGAUGAUAAUGACAGUACCGGGAGAAUAAGCUCCGGCUAACUCCGUG